RNAcentral lists this ribosomal RNA (439 nucleotides) under uncultured bacterium. RNAcentral's name for it is "partial 16S ribosomal RNA". It matches the Rfam family "Bacterial small subunit ribosomal RNA", at positions 339 to 795 of the family's 1533-position model. The record is from RNAcentral.
CUACGGGUCGCACCAGUGGGGAAUAUUGCACAAUGGGGGGAACCCUGAUGCAGCAACGCCGCGUGGAGGAUGACACAUUUCGGUGCGUAAACUCCUUUUAUAUAAGAAGAUAAUGACGGUAUUAUAUGAAUAAGCACCGGCUAACUCCGUGCCAGCAGCCGCGGUAAUACGGGGGGUGCAAGCGUUACUCGGAAUCACUGGGCGUAAAGAGCAUGUAGGCGGGUAGAAAAGUUGGAAGUGAAAUCCUAUGGCUUAACCAUAGAACUGCUUCCAAAACUCUUUACCUAGAAUAUGGGAGAGGUAGAUGGAAUUUCUGGUGUAGGGGUAAAAUCCGUAGAGAUCAGAAGGAAUACCGAUUGCGAAGGCGAUCUACUGGAACAUUAUUGACGCUCAGAUGCGAAAGCGUGGGGAGCAAACAGGAUUAGAUACCCUUGUAGUC